Molecule: ribosomal RNA, 464 nt
Filed under: uncultured bacterium
Lineage: Bacteria
Description: partial 16S ribosomal RNA
Rfam family: Bacterial small subunit ribosomal RNA
Source: RNAcentral
GACGAACGUUGGCGGCGUGCUUAACACAUGCAAGUCGAGCGGAAAGGCCCUUUCGGGGGUACUCGAGCGGCGAACGGGUGAGUAACACGUGAGUAAUCUGCCCUUCACUUGGGGAUAACCUCCGGAAACGGUGGCUAAUACCCGAUACGACCAUUCCUCGCAUGAGGUGGUGGUGGAAAGUUUUUCGGUGGGGGAUGUGCUCGCGGCCUAUCAGCUUGUUGGUGGGGUAAUGGCCUACCAAGGCUUCGACGGGUAGCCGGCCUGAGAGGGUGACCGGCCACACUGGGACUGAGACACGGCCCAGACUCCUACGGGAGGCAGCAGUGGGGAAUAUUGGACAAUGGGCGGAAGCCUGAUCCAGCAACGCCGCGUGAGGGAUGACGGCCUUCGGGUUGUAAACCUCUUUCACCUGUGACGAAGCGAAAGUGACGGUAGCAGGAGAAGAAGCACCGGCCAACUACGUG